This 648-nucleotide ribosomal RNA is filed under the name Acaulospora laevis. RNAcentral's name for it is "partial large subunit ribosomal RNA". It matches the Rfam family "Eukaryotic large subunit ribosomal RNA", at positions 89 to 626 of the family's 3401-position model. The record is from RNAcentral. Lineage: Eukaryota; Fungi; Glomeromycota; Glomeromycetes; Diversisporales; Acaulosporaceae.
GCGAGUGAACCGGGAAAAGCUCAAAUUUAAAAUCGCUUGGGUUUACCUGAGUGAGUUGUAAUUUGAAGAAAGUGUUUCGACUUUUCGGGUUUGAUCCAAAUCCUUUGGGAUGAGGUAUCAUAGAGGGUGAGAAUCCCGUUCAUGAUUGAACCUGAGUUGUCAAUUGAUUCAUUUUCUAAGAGUCGAGUUGUUUGGGAUUGCAGCUCAAAAUGGGUGGUAAAUUUCACCUAAGGCUAAAUAUCUGCAAGAGACCGAUAGCGAACAAGUACCGUGAGGGAAAGAUGAAAAGAACUUUGAAAAGAGAGUUAAAAAGUACGUGAAAUUGUUGAAAGGGAAACGAUUGAAGUCAGUCAUGCUAGCGAGGAAUCAACUUGGUGGUGUGAGUCUCUCAUCUCCUCCCUGUGCACUUCCUCGUCUGGCAGGUUAGCAUCAAUUUUGAUUGUCAUCAAAUAAUUGGGGUAAUGUGGCUUCGCUUCGGUGGAGUGUUAUAGACCCUGGUGGAUGUGGCGAUUGGGAUUGAGGAUUGCAGCGGAUGCCUCUUGGCUAGUCACCUGAUUCCUGGCUGUCACCUCGCUUUCGACAGCUUGCUGACGAUUGUGGGACUCGGCGGUCUAGGUGUCGGUCUGAUCUUAAAUUCGCUAAGGAUGC